This 63-nucleotide transfer RNA is filed under the name Paranurophorus simplex. RNAcentral describes it as "tRNA-Thr". Lineage: Eukaryota; Metazoa; Arthropoda; Collembola; Entomobryomorpha; Isotomidae. The record is from RNAcentral.
GCCUGGAUAGUUUAAUUAAAACAUUAGUUUUGUAAACUAAAAUUUAACAAAGUUACCCAGACU